Molecule: ribosomal RNA, 256 nt
Filed under: uncultured bacterium
Lineage: Bacteria
Description: partial 16S ribosomal RNA
Rfam family: Bacterial small subunit ribosomal RNA
Source: RNAcentral
GACGUAGGUGGCGAACGUUAUCUGGAAUUAUUGGGCGUAAAGGGUGCGUAGGUGGCCUGACAAGUUAUCAGUGGCAAAUCGAGGCUCAACCUCGUGGAAACUGGUAAUACUGUUCGGCUUGAGUACAGGAGAGGUUAACGGAACUCUAUGUGGAGCGGUAAAAUGCACAGAUAUAUAGAAGAACAUCAAUAAAGGCGAAGGCAGUUAACUAUUCUGUUACUGACGCUGAGGCACGAAAGCGUGGGGAGCAAAACGG